Molecule: ribosomal RNA, 433 nt
Filed under: uncultured bacterium
Lineage: Bacteria
Description: partial 16S ribosomal RNA
Rfam family: Bacterial small subunit ribosomal RNA
Source: RNAcentral
AACGAACGCUGGCGGCAUGCCUAACACAUGCAAGUCGAACGAGACCUUCGGGUCUAUUGGCGCACGGGUGCGUAACGCGUGGGAACCUGCCCUUAGGUUCGGAAUAACUCCCCGAAGGGGGUGCUAAUACCGGAUAAUGUCUUCGGACCAAAGAUUUAUCGCCUUUGGAUGGGCCCGCGUUGGAUUAGCUGGUUGGUAGGGUAAAAGCCUACCAAGGCGACGAUCCAUAGCUGGUCUGAGAGGAUGAUCAGCCACACUGGGACUGAGACACGGCCCAGACUCCUACGGGAGGGAGCAGUGGGUAAUAUUGGACAAUGGGCGGAAGCCUGAUCCAGCAAUGCCGGGUGAGUGAUGAAGGCCUUAGGGUUGUAAAGCUCUUUUACCCGGGAUGAUAAUGACAGUACCGGGAGAAUAAGCUCCGGCUAACUCCGUG